GACGAACGCUGGCGGCGUGCUUAACACAUGCAAGUCGAACGGAAAGGCCCUGCUUUUGUGGGGUGCUCGAGUGGCGAACGGGUGAGUAACACGCGAGUAACCUGCCCCUGACUUUGGGAUAACUUCAGGAAACUGGGGCUAAUACCGGAUAGGAGCUCCUGCUGCAUGGUGGGGGUUGGAAAGUUUCGGCGGUUUGGGAUGGACUCGCGGCUUAUCAGCUUGUUGGUGGGGUAGUGGCUUACCAAGGCUUUGACGGGUAGCCGGCCUGAGAGGGUGACCGGCCACAUGGGGACUAAGAUACGGCCCAGAAUCCUACGGGAGGCAGCAGUGGGGAAUAUUGCAGAAUGGGCGGAAGCCUGAUGCAGCAACGCCGCGUGCGGGAUGACGGCCUUCGGGUUGUAAACCGCUUUCGCAUGUGACGAAGCGUGAGUGACGGUAAUGGGUAAAGAAGCACCGGCUAACUACGUG
RNAcentral lists this ribosomal RNA (468 nucleotides) under uncultured bacterium. RNAcentral's name for it is "partial 16S ribosomal RNA". It matches the Rfam family "Bacterial small subunit ribosomal RNA", at positions 28 to 507 of the family's 1533-position model. The record is from RNAcentral.